This 491-nucleotide long non-coding RNA is filed under the name Physcomitrium patens. RNAcentral's name for it is "long non-coding RNA (PPAT_LNC006591)". The record is from RNAcentral. Lineage: Eukaryota; Viridiplantae; Streptophyta; Bryopsida; Funariales; Funariaceae.
GUUAGUAGAUUUUAGUUGAUUGUAGAAUAUAAUUUGAUUAUUACCUUGAGAAGACAUUGUUUAAAAAGAUUACUAUAGAAUUUGUAUAACUUUAAUUUCUUUUUUGAUGGUGGCUUUUAAGUUUGGUUUUGGUUGAUAGUAACUUCUAAAUAUUUAGAACCACCUUUGUUAGACAUUGGUGACAUUUGAAAACUUAUUUUGGUUCUUUUAUUUAGUGUUUAGAAUAUAAGUCAUAUAAAUCUUAUAAAAAAAAAGAUUGAAGAAGUAUUUUGGUAGAAAAGGGAGUAAUUAAAGCACCAAUAUAGAUGAAUGGAGAUGAAUGAUGAAAAUCUCCAUUAAUAUUGGUCAAAAAUCAUGACCAAUGGGCUUUGAGGAGACUGCCCGAGGCCAUAUUAGAGAUUAGGAUUAGUUUUUUGAAGCCAUUUGAGCUUUGAAGGCUUGGGUCAGCAAGUUUAGGUUUUUGGCUAUGGUUUUGGUGCAAAACUUGUAUG